Molecule: long non-coding RNA, 2736 nt
Organism: Arachis duranensis
Lineage: Eukaryota; Viridiplantae; Streptophyta; Magnoliopsida; Fabales; Fabaceae
Exons: 6
Source: RefSeq, a predicted model, not a curated record
UCUGGCUUAAGGGAAAAACGCAAUGCACACAAAGAAAUCCCCAAUUGGAAUUAAAAAAGAAACCCUCUCCUUCCGUGAUUCAAGAAAAAUGUAAAACCUCUAAGGGCUCUCUGCCUUGCCGCUGCGCUCGAAAUCAUGCCACCCUCAUCAUAUUGCUUGGCCAUCGCUCCAUCCUAUUGCAUCGCCUUGCAUGCAAAUCCCCCUCUUGCUGCCUGUUCAGUCCGCUGCUCCUGCAAAUCUCGCGAACGAAAUCUUCCCACAAUCCGCCACCCACGCACCAUCCUUCUUUCGUUCUGAUAUGUUCCAUCUUUGCUACUGCUUGCUUUCCUCUUUCCCGGUUUGAUCUUCUCUCUGUGCUCGCUUUCAAUUAAUUAAUGUGUAUUAGGGUUAUCUAUUAGGAAUUAGGAUGAGCUUUUGAAUCUAUUGUAAUUGAUGGGUUUUCAUUUAAGCUCUUUGUCUUGAGUUCCCAUAUGAUUAGUCAAUUAGUAUUUCCCAAUAUUUAUUUUUUAAUCUUUCCUCUGUUGAUGGUACGGAUACUUCUGAUUAAUUUUGCAAGCAAGAUUGGUGCUAUAGUUACCAAGAUUUGGAGUUCAGAAGUCACCCAUGUGAUUGCAUCUACUGAUGAAAAUAGAGCAUGCUCUAGGACAGUAAAAGUUCUUAUGGCAAUUCUAAAUAGGGAUGGGUUCUCAAAAUGGAUUGUAAGUUAUUGUGGUUCUACGUUUUCUUACUUUAUUACUUUUAUCCUCAUAUUUGAUUUCUAAUUAUUGAGUUCUUUAGUCACUUAAUGACUUCAUUAUUUGGUUCUUAUUCUGCAACGAUUAUGUUCAUUUGAGCGUUGGAGGUUAGAAGGAAGAAUAGAAUUUGUGGAACAGUUUGAUCAAAUGUAAUGUUCUACAUAGUGGCAUUCUUUCUGAACUUAUAGUUCUCUGCCAUGUGAAGUUCACAUUUUGCUUUGAUAUUUAUAAGAACAUCAACAAAAUAAAGAAGGUCAAGUGCCCCGUAUUGGUGAUAGUGUUUUCUUCACUUUUCAUUCAAAUUUCAUCUGAUCAUCACUCUUCUCCAUGAAUUGUUGAAGCAAGUGAUUAGAUUGGAUGGACAAGCAUUCUGGGGAUUCUGUGCUAACUCAUGGUGCCACAGGAUCGGAUCGGAGCAGAGGGGAUGCAUGCUGUGAUGAAUCUUACAUACACAUGCAUAGUGAAUGCUGAUCACUUUAACCCCAUAUAUUUACAUUCUAGAUAGAUUUGUUUUUUUUUCUAUUUUAUAGAUUUUUCUUAUUGGUUACUAACGUUGUUACGGUCUUUUCACGAAUUAAAUUUUGUAUUUCUUAAUUAAACACCAGUAUUGAGGAUCUUCUAAUUUAAUGAAUUAACUGACAUGAGUCUUAUAUAUAUAUAUAUAUAAGAUAGGAAUUUAGCAGGACAUGAGUGAAAGCAGGACCACAUUGUAUUGGAAUUUAGCACAAGACAGAGAGUAUUUUCAUCAAAAUGGAAUGCCAUUAAAUAAUCAACAGCUACCAAAAGGAGAGAUGUAGGUACAGUAUUAUUAUUCCAAAGGUUUCUCAUCACUCAACUGAUCAAGGACCUCCUCCUUUUCAUAUUUAACAACUUAAUAGCCUUUAUUUUAGAACAAUAACCAUACCAAAUGAUACCUAAGAUCCUAGUGUUGCAAUUAACACUGUUACAUAUAUAAUAGUUAAUUAAGCUUGAUAUAUAUCUAAUUCUUUUGAGUCAAUAUAGGAAAAAAUUAAAGGUGGGGUUUACAAGCUAAAAUCGGGACAUAACACUUGGGAAUCAGAGAUCAUUGUUUAGAGUGUUGGGAAAGUAGCAUUCAUCUUUUCAAAAAUUAGAUUGUAUAGGCUCUUAUUUUUAUAGUGUCAUGCAUGCAUGAUUGUAUAGAGUUAUUAGCAACCACACUUUACUCGAACUCGCCAAUAAUUCACACAUACAAAAAGUAUAGCCAACCAAGUAGCUCACAACUUAGUAAAACUUAGCUUGCUUAUUCCACCCUAAUAAUUCUAUUUAGUAAGAAGAAUCUCCAACAGUAGCUAUACAGACCUUAGUAAUAACAAAACAAGACCUAAAUUAAAUUAUUAGCAAUAAGCUUACCUACCUUUGAUCAUAUAUAUUAUUAUAGUGAUAUGAAAAGGGCGUAUAUAUGUUUUCUUUAUUGGUGAGACAUGAUGACAGUGGGUAGGUAAUAUAACUAAUUUUCAAAGACAGUGAUUAUAUGCUUUCAUCUCAUAACUAGAUAACCAUCGGGGGAACCUCUACCCUUUUUUUAAUUAAACUAGUUCUUUUGGCUUUGUAUCGUUGGAUGAUUGAUGGAAACAAUUUGCAGGUCUAGUUGAGGACCAACAACUGAUGGAGACCUUAGUGUCGAGCUUGAUGAUAUUAGAAAUGAGGGUGUAUGCUGGAGCAAAACCUUUGGUGGAGAAUCAAGAGAGCAUUAAAGCACCAUAUAUUUCACUCAAUGGUCAAUGAAUAUCGAAAAAGUUGAUCGUUUUAGAGUGGAAUAUGCUUCGAUUGUUAUCUUUAAUGAAAUAAAUCGAGAGAUAAAGUCAUUGCUGAAUCUGAAGGCAUAAGACUCUCAAAGCUAUCUGCUGCAAUAUCAAGUCCUUUCUGUAAAUUUUCAUUAGAAAAUAUAGAAAGUGUAUAUGUUGAAUGUUGUAAAUUGUUAUGAAUUUAUACACUGGUUGAGUAUUGAAUUAUCUGUGUAUUGUAUAGUUAAAACAAAAAU